Molecule: ribosomal RNA, 2923 nt
Filed under: Klebsiella pneumoniae
Lineage: Bacteria; Pseudomonadati; Pseudomonadota; Gammaproteobacteria; Enterobacterales; Enterobacteriaceae
Description: 23S ribosomal RNA
Rfam family: Bacterial large subunit ribosomal RNA
Source: RNAcentral
GGGUUGUGAGGUUAAGCGACUAAGCGUACACGGUGGAUGCCCUGGCAGUCAGAGGCGAUGAAGGACGUGCUAAUCUGCGAAAAGCGUCGGUAAGGUGAUAUGAACCGUUACAGCCGGCGAUGUCCGAAUGGGGAAACCCAGUGCAAUUCGUUGCACUAUCGUUAACUGAAUACAUAGGUUAACGAGGCGAACCGGGGGAACUGAAACAUCUAAGUACCCCGAGGAAAAGAAAUCAACCGAGAUUCCCCCAGUAGCGGCGAGCGAACGGGGAGCAGCCCAGAGUCUGAAUCAGCUUGUGUGUUAGUGGAACGGUCUGGAAAGUCCGACGGUACAGGGUGAUAGUCCCGUACACCAAAAUGCACAGGCUGUGAACUCGAAGAGUAGGGCGGGACACGUGGUAUCCUGUCUGAAUAUGGGGGGACCAUCCUCCAAGGCUAAAUACUCCUGACUGACCGAUAGUGAACCAGUACCGUGAGGGAAAGGCGAAAAGAACCCCGGCGAGGGGAGUGAAAAAGAACCUGAAACCGUGUACGUACAAGCAGUGGGAGCACCUUCGGGUGUGACUGCGUACCUUUUGUAUAAUGGGUCAGCGACUUAUAUUCUGUAGCAAGGUUAACCGUAUAGGGGAGCCGCAGGGAAACCGAGUCUUAACUGGGCGUUAAGUUGCAGGGUAUAGACCCGAAACCCGGUGAUCUAGCCAUGGGCAGGUUGAAGGUUGGGUAACACUAACUGGAGGACCGAACCGACUAAUGUUGAAAAAUUAGCGGAUGACUUGUGGCUGGGGGUGAAAGGCCAAUCAAACCGGGAGAUAGCUGGUUCUCCCCGAAAGCUAUUUAGGUAGCGCCUCGUGAACUCAUCUUCGGGGGUAGAGCACUGUUUCGGCUAGGGGGUCAUCCCGACUUACCAACCCGAUGCAAACUACGAAUACCGAAGAAUGUUAUCACGGGAGACACACGGCGGGUGCUAACGUCCGUCGUGAAGAGGGAAACAACCCAGACCGCCAGCUAAGGUCCCAAAGUCAUGGUUAAGUGGGAAACGAUGUGGGAAGGCACAGACAGCCAGGAUGUUGGCUUAGAAGCAGCCAUCAUUUAAAGAAAGCGUAAUAGCUCACUGGUCGAGUCGGCCUGCGCGGAAGAUGUAACGGGGCUAAACCAUGCACCGAAGCUGCGGCAGCGACACUAUGUGUUGUUGGGUAGGGGAGCGUUCUGUAAGCCUGCGAAGGUGUGCUGUGAGGCAUGCUGGAGGUAUCAGAAGUGCGAAUGCUGACAUAAGUAACGAUAAAGCGGGUGAAAAGCCCGCUCGCCGGAAGACCAAGGGUUCCUGUCCAACGUUAAUCGGGGCAGGGUGAGUCGACCCCUAAGGCGAGGCCGAAAGGCGUAGUCGAUGGGAAACAGGUUAAUAUUCCUGUACUUGGUGUUACUGCGAAGGGGGGACGGAGAAGGCUAUGUUAGCCGGGCGACGGUUGUCCCGGUUUAAGCAUGUAGGCUGGUUAUCCAGGCAAAUCCGGAUAAUCAAGGCUGAGGUGUGAUGACGAGGCACUACGGUGCUGAAGUAACAAAUGCCCUGCUUCCAGGAAAAGCCUCUAAGCAUCAGGUAACAUCAAAUCGUACCCCAAACCGACACAGGUGGUCAGGUAGAGAAUACCAAGGCGCUUGAGAGAACUCGGGUGAAGGAACUAGGCAAAAUGGUGCCGUAACUUCGGGAGAAGGCACGCUGGUGUGUAGGUGAAGCCCCUGCGGGUGGAGCUGAGACCAGUCGAAGAUACCAGCUGGCUGCAACUGUUUAUUAAAAACACAGCACUGUGCAAACACGAAAGUGGACGUAUACGGUGUGACGCCUGCCCGGUGCCGGAAGGUUAAUUGAUGGGGUUAUCCGUAAGGAGAAGCUCUUGAUCGAAGCCCCGGUAAACGGCGGCCGUAACUAUAACGGUCCUAAGGUAGCGAAAUUCCUUGUCGGGUAAGUUCCGACCUGCACGAAUGGCGUAAUGAUGGCCAGGCUGUCUCCACCCGAGACUCAGUGAAAUUGAACUCGCUGUGAAGAUGCAGUGUACCCGCGGCAAGACGGAAAGACCCCGUGAACCUUUACUAUAGCUUGACACUGAACAUUGAGCCUUGAUGUGUAGGAUAGGUGGGAGGCUUUGAAGCGUGGACGCCAGUCUGCGUGGAGCCAACCUUGAAAUACCACCCUUUAAUGUUUGAUGUUCUAACGUUGGCCCCUUACCGGGGUUGCGGACAGUGUCUGGUGGGUAGUUUGACUGGGGCGGUCUCCUCCCAAAGCGUAACGGAGGAGCACGAAGGUUAGCUAAUCCUGGUCGGACAUCAGGAGGUUAGUGCAAUGGCAUAAGCUAGCUUGACUGCGAGCGUGACGGCGCGAGCAGGUGCGAAAGCAGGUCAUAGUGAUCCGGUGGUUCUGAAUGGAAGGGCCAUCGCUCAACGGAUAAAAGGUACUCCGGGGAUAACAGGCUGAUACCGCCCAAGAGUUCAUAUCGACGGCGGUGUUUGGCACCUCGAUGUCGGCUCAUCACAUCCUGGGGCUGAAGUAGGUCCCAAGGGUAUGGCUGUUCGCCAUUUAAAGUGGUACGCGAGCUGGGUUUAGAACGUCGUGAGACAGUUCGGUCCCUAUCUGCCGUGGGCGCUGGAGAAUUGAGGGGGGCUGCUCCUAGUACGAGAGGACCGGAGUGGACGCAUCACUGGUGUUCGGGUUGUCAUGCCAAUGGCACUGCCCGGUAGCUAAAUGCGGAAGAGAUAAGUGCUGAAAGCAUCUAAGCACGAAACUUGCCCCGAGAUGAGUUCUCCCUGAGACUUUAAGUCUCCUGAAGGAACGUUGAAGACGACGACGUUGAUAGGCCGGGUGUGUAAGCGCAGCGAUGCGUUGAGCUAACCGGUACUAAUGAACCGUGAGGCUUAACCUUACAACGCCGAAG